RNAcentral lists this ribosomal RNA (533 nucleotides) under Alternaria sp. COIM-3. Its description in RNAcentral is "eukaryotic LSU rRNA". The stretch from base 158 to 311 matches the Rfam family "5.8S ribosomal RNA". The record is from RNAcentral. Lineage: Eukaryota; Fungi; Ascomycota; Dothideomycetes; Pleosporales; Pleosporaceae.
UGAAGGCGGGCUGGAAUCUCUCGGGGUUACAGCCUUGCUGAAUUAUUCACCCUUGUCUUUUGCGUACUUCUUGUUUCCUUGGUGGGUUCGCCCACCACUAGGACAAACAUAAACCUUUUGUAAUUGCAAUCAGCGUCAGUAACAAAUUAAUAAUUACAACUUUCAACAACGGAUCUCUUGGUUCUGGCAUCGAUGAAGAACGCAGCGAAAUGCGAUAAGUAGUGUGAAUUGCAGAAUUCAGUGAAUCAUCGAAUCUUUGAACGCACAUUGCGCCCUUUGGUAUUCCAAAGGGCAUGCCUGUUCGAGCGUCAUUUGUACCCUCAAGCUUUGCUUGGUGUUGGGCGUCUUGUCUCUAGCUUUGCUGGAGACUCGCCUUAAAGUAAUUGGCAGCCGGCCUACUGGUUUCGGAGCGCAGCACAAGUCGCACUCUCUAUCAGCAAAGGUCUAGCAUCCAUUAAGCCUUUUCUCACCCUUUUGACCUCGGAUCAGGUAGGGAUACCCGCUGAACUUAAGCAUAUCAAUAAGCGGAGGAA